UCGAGCGGAACCAUUGGAGCUUGCUCCUUUGGUUUAGCGGCGGACGGGUGAGUAACACGUGGGCAACCUGCCCUGCAGAUCGGGAUAACUCCGGGAAACCGGUGCUAAUACCGAAUAGUUUGCGGCCUCUCAUGAGGCUGUACGGAAAGACGGUUUCGGCUGUCACUGCAGGAUGGGCCCGCGGCGCAUUAGCUAGUUGGUGGGGUAACGGCCCACCAAGGCGACGAUGCGUAGCCGACCUGAGAGGGUGAUCGGCCACACUGGGACUGAGACACGGCCCAGACUCCUACGGGAGGCAGCAGUAGGGAAUCUUCCGCAAUGGACGAAAGUCUGACGGAGCAACGCCGCGUGAGUGAAGAAGGUUUUCGGAUCGUAAAACUCUGUUGUGAGGGAAGAACAAGUACCAAGUAACUACUGGUACCUUGACGGUACCUCACCAGAAAGCCACGGCUAACUACGUGCCAGCAGCCGCGGUAAUACGUAGGUGGCAAGCGUUGUCCGGAAUUAUUGGGCGUAAAGCGCGCGCAGGCGGUCCUUUAAGUCUGAUGUGAAAGCCCACGGCUCAACCGUGGAGGGUCAUUGGAAACUGGGGGACUUGAGUGCAGAAGAGGAAAGUGGAAUUCCACGUGUAGCGGUGAAAUGCGUAGAGAUGUGGAGGAACACCAGUGGCGAAGGCGACUUUCUGGUCUGUAACUGACGCUGAGGCGCG
Molecule: ribosomal RNA, 709 nt
Filed under: Planococcus sp. SCSIO 04304
Lineage: Bacteria; Bacillati; Bacillota; Bacilli; Caryophanales; Caryophanaceae
Description: bacterial SSU rRNA
Rfam family: Bacterial small subunit ribosomal RNA
Source: RNAcentral